This 1469-nucleotide ribosomal RNA is filed under the name Triticum aestivum (bread wheat). RNAcentral's name for it is "partial small subunit ribosomal RNA". Lineage: Eukaryota; Viridiplantae; Streptophyta; Magnoliopsida; Poales; Poaceae. The record is from RNAcentral.
CCUUUAUGAGCGCGGGCCAGCUGGCCGCGUCUCAUCGGUCGGAAGAAGGGGUUUAAGGGUCUAUUUUGUCUCGUCAUCAGCUUCGUGCCGAGGCCGCCUGGGGAGGGUUUAAGGGGUUUAAUUUGGGAGCGAGCGGCGGGAGGAGGCGGAGGCCGCAGCGGAGCGGCCGUGCGGCACUGGGUGGUACAGGCACCUGCUGACGAAGUAGGGCGAGGGGAGGGGUGAGGUACUGGCGACCGCCACGCCGAGAGUGGGGACGGACAGGGUCGAUCUAGACCUGCUGGCGCGCCGACGGCCAAGACCGUGCCGCCCGCUCCCUCGGCGGAGCGUACCGCAGGGGUCUGCGUAGGACGCCUAGGGGAUUGGCGGGUGAGCGGCAGGGGGGCUGCGCGGAGGGAGGAGGAGGGGAGCUAGGCGACGGACGAUACAUAUUCCCCUUACGGAAGGGUCUCCUCCUCGGUUUCGUUGUGGUUCAGGUUCAAAGUGCACGGCGAAGUUUCCCCUCUAUACGUUCCAAAUUUCUCUUAAACUUACGGUUCGGUGUCCUCUGUUUCGUUGUAGCGGUAGUUCAACGGCAGAGUACGCGGCGAAGUUUUCCCUCCUCAGCUCGACCAACCUACAGGUACCUCUCCUCGUGAGGACUUCCAUAGUUGUACCUCCUUGUACGAAGCUCCAAAGUCGGAAACGGGGACGGGUCUAAAUGCUCACUGAACCUGGCCCGAUGGCAGCCUUAAGGUCAACAUUACGCUUUCUCUUUCGGAGGCCUCCACUCCUUACGCGAGGCACUUUCUUCUCAGCGCUGGUUUGUUUUCCUGCGUGCGAUGGUACGCCUCCACCGGAACGCAUUUAUGUUGUCUCGGUUGUUGUGGUUCAAACUUGACCACUUCCAUUUUCACUAUAGAUAUAAAAUACUCAAACCUCCCCGGCCGCGGGUAAUAUUGAAGUGUCGAUUCGUCGGACUCCUCGUUGUAAGACGACUACGGCUGUCAUGGUUCGAUAAGAAGAGACUUCAGGUGGACUUAAAAGCCUCACUCUUACUACACUAAUACACGACAUAUCAACCCCUUUUACUGCGUCCCGUAACGAUACCGACACUUUUGAUGGUCGGACAAUAAGUGGGUUCGUCGGUUCGUAUGCCGCCGCCAUCAUCGUGAACAUAACUGAUAGGAACGAGUCUGCCGCUAUCGCUGUCGCUGAUCAUUACAUCGUGAACUUCGGGCCACCGGCCGCGAACGAACACACCGGUCAGAAGAGCCCACACAUAACUGAACAAACGUUAAGACGCUCUUAUAGGUUAGCGUACCUCAUUUACCUACUUGAACUCUUUACACAGCAACCUACCUCUGGGCUCAGAGUUGACUUACAACCGAACACACUGGUUAGGUUAUUACUGUAAACGAUAACACCAAACGCAGAACCGGACUCUUUUAUACGUGAUGCCACUCAUUUACCUCAAUACAUCUGUACCC